Molecule: unclassified non-coding RNA, 371 nt
Filed under: Hevea brasiliensis (rubber tree)
Lineage: Eukaryota; Viridiplantae; Streptophyta; Magnoliopsida; Malpighiales; Euphorbiaceae
Source: RNAcentral
UGAUGAUGUGCCCGAAGCUCUUGAGAGAUGGGCUGCUUCAGGCAUCAAGGUGUACAUAUACUCAAGUGGCAGCAGAUUGGCACAAAGACUUUUGUUUGGCUACACAAACUAUGGGGACCUGAGAAAAUACCUCUGCGGAUUCUUUGAUACAACAGUAGGGAAUAAGAAAGAAACAAAAAGUUACCAUGAAAUUACAGCAUCCUUGGGGGUAGAUCACCCAUCCGAGAUUUUGUUCGUGACUGAUGUCUAUCAAGAAGCUAUAGCUGCAAAACUAGCAGGUUUGGAAGUGAUAAUAUCUGUCAGGCCAGGGAAUGGACCUCUUCCAGAUAAUCAUGGAUUUAGGACGGUCAAGUCCUUUUCAGAAAUCUAAA